This 370-nucleotide ribosomal RNA is filed under the name uncultured organism. Its description in RNAcentral is "bacterial SSU rRNA". It matches the Rfam family "Bacterial small subunit ribosomal RNA", at positions 526 to 896 of the family's 1533-position model. The record is from RNAcentral.
CAGAGGGUGCGAGCGUUGUCCGGAAUCACUGGGCGUAAAGGGCGCGUAGGCGGCUUUUCAAGCGUGCGGUGAAAGCUCGGGGCUUAACUCCGAGUCUGCCGUGCGAACUGGGAGGCUUGAGUCUGGUAGAGGUCGAUGGAAUUCCGGGUGUAGCGGUGGAAUGCGUAGAGAUCCGGAAGAACACCGGUGGCGAAGGCGGUCGACUGGGCCAGAACUGACGCUGAGGCGCGACAGCGUGGGGAGCAAACAGGAUUAGAUACCCUGGUAGUCCACGCCGUAAACGAUGGGCACUAGGUCCUGGGGGGAGCGACCCCUGAGGGCCGGCGCUAACGCAUUAAGUGCCCGCCUGGGGAGUACGGCCGCAAGGCUG